RNAcentral lists this ribosomal RNA (449 nucleotides) under uncultured bacterium. Its description in RNAcentral is "bacterial SSU rRNA". It matches the Rfam family "Bacterial small subunit ribosomal RNA", at positions 329 to 794 of the family's 1533-position model. The record is from RNAcentral.
UACCAGACUCCUACGGGAGGCAGCAGUCGGGAAUAUUGCGCAAUGGAGGAAACUCUGACGCAGUGACGCCGCGUAUAGGAAGAAGGUCUUCGGAUUGUAAACUAUUGUCGUUAGGGAAGAAAAAGGACAGUACCUAAGGAGGAAGCUCUGGCUAACUACGUGCCAGCAGCCGCGGUAAUACGUAGGGAGCGAGCGUUAUCCGGAUUUAUUGGGUGUAAAGGGUGCGUAGACGGGAAUUUAAGUUAGUUGUGAAGCCCCUCGGCUCAACUGAGGAACUGCAACUAAAACUGGAUUUCUUGAGUGCUGGAGAGGAAAGCGGAAUUCCUAGUGUAGCGGUGAAAUGCGUAGAUAUUAGGAGGAACACCAGUGGCGAAGGCGGCUUUCUGGACUGAAACUGACGCUGAGGCACGAAAGCGUGGGGAGCGAACAGGAUUAGAUACCCGUGUAUA